CCCAUCACGUUGGGGAUAACCUUGCGAAAGUUAAGGACUAAUACCCAAUGGAUAUCUCUUAGAAGACAUCUGAAAGAGNUUAAAGAUUUAUCGGUGAUGGAUGGGGAUGCGUCUGAUUAGCUUGUUUGGCGGGGGUUAAACGGCCCACCAAGGCAACGAUCAGUAGGGGUUCUGAGAGGAAGGUCCCCCACAUUGGAACUGAGACACGGUCCAAACUCCUACGGGAGGCAGCAGUGAGGAAUAUUGGUCAAUGGACGAGAGUCUGAACCAGCCAAGUAGCGUGCAGGAUGACGGCCCUAUGGGUUGUAAACUGCUUUUAUAAGGGAAUAAAGUGAGUCUCGUGAGACUUUUUGCAUGUACCUUAUGAAUAAGGACCGGCUAAUUCCGUG
This 389-nucleotide ribosomal RNA is filed under the name uncultured bacterium. RNAcentral's name for it is "bacterial SSU rRNA". It matches the Rfam family "Bacterial small subunit ribosomal RNA", at positions 129 to 507 of the family's 1533-position model. The record is from RNAcentral.